This 253-nucleotide ribosomal RNA is filed under the name uncultured bacterium. RNAcentral describes it as "partial 16S ribosomal RNA". It matches the Rfam family "Bacterial small subunit ribosomal RNA", at positions 524 to 776 of the family's 1533-position model. The record is from RNAcentral.
GACGUAGGGUCCGAGCGUUGUCCGGAACUACUGGGCGUAAAGGGCGCGCAGGCGGCGCAUUUUGUCAGGCGUGAAAGCCCCGGGCUUAACCUGGGAACUGCGUCGGAUACUGGAUGGCUUGAAUUCGGGAGAGGGAUGCAGAAUUCCAGGUGUAGCGGUGAAAUGCGUAGAUAUCUGGAGGAAUACCGGUGGCGAAGGCGGCAUCCUGGACCGACAUUGACGCUGAACGGCGAAAGCUAGGGGAGCAAACGGG